CUAGGAUGCCUGUUGGUAUUUCAUUCGAGACAUAGCGUUUGUUAUUCGAUCACUUUUGCUCUUCUGCCUCUUCUUGUUACACAUACAAGGAUUUACCAGAAAUGAACGUAAAGCGAUGUAUAGUUUUCAUUGAGUAUUAGGGUAACACGUGCUAUUUAGUUUCGUAAAAUAUGACAUUGUUUGAGAAUGUAUUUUUCGCUUUAUUCGUUGUUCUUCAAAAGUCUGAGAUGGAUACAUUGAUGAAACUUUGAAAGAUGCAACGAUAAAAAAUAUAUUUAUCUAGCCCAGUUUUCUAGAAAGAUAGCGAAAAUGGUAUCAUUUAAAUCAUAUCCGAUAUCGAUAAGAGUGGUAUUAGGUAGGUACUUGAUUCAUUUGUUGGUAUAAUUUCAGCAUUCGCUAAGUAAUUUUUUUGAAUGCUUCAAAGUUGCGACAAAAAAAUGAAAAAGAUUGUGCCCGUUUUGCGAUUUUUGGAUACCGUUUGCUUGUAUUUUUGGGCCACCUUUGUUCCUAUUUUUAUUCUACUUGCCUAGAACCAACUGUCAUGUUUGUAGAAACCGUGAUUUACAAAUCCUCCGUUGAUACCUGCUGACCACAGAAUCGCAUCGAAAUCUGAAACAAUGCUCCUGUAAAUUUAAUAAAAUCAAUACAGUUAUGAAUGACUUUAACUGCCACACUCCAUUAUGAUCUGUUCAGCUCUUCAAGAUGAAAUCUCCCUCGUUUGUGUCCCGUCAGCUUCUAAAACCAUGGAAAAAUGGAUAUGUCCCGUUACGACUUAUCUGCAUUCAUUUCUGUCAUUUCUGAUAAAUUUUUAUAAGUGCUAGGUGAACCUGAAAGAAGAAAUAAAAUCAGUAAAAUACCAUUAA
Planococcus citri (citrus mealybug) is the source of this 863-nucleotide long non-coding RNA. RefSeq lists it as uncharacterized. The record is from RefSeq and is a predicted model, not a curated record. Lineage: Eukaryota; Metazoa; Arthropoda; Insecta; Hemiptera; Pseudococcidae. The transcript has 2 exons.